This 465-nucleotide ribosomal RNA is filed under the name Vreelandella stevensii. RNAcentral describes it as "partial 16S ribosomal RNA". It matches the Rfam family "Bacterial small subunit ribosomal RNA", at positions 338 to 795 of the family's 1533-position model. Lineage: Bacteria; Pseudomonadati; Pseudomonadota; Gammaproteobacteria; Oceanospirillales; Halomonadaceae. The record is from RNAcentral.
CCUACGGGAGGCUGCAGUGGGGAAUAUUGGACAAUGGGGGGAACCCUGAUCCAGCCAUGCCGCGUGUGUGAAGAAGGCCCUCGGGUUGUAAAGCACUUUCAGUGAGGAAGAACGCCUGGUGGUUAAUACCCAGCAGGAAAGACAUCACUCACAGAAGAAGCACCGGCUAACUCCGUGCCAGCAGCCGCGGUAAUACGGAGGGUGCGAGCGUUAAUCGGAAUUACUGGGCGUAAAGCGCGCGUAGGUGGCUUGAUAAGCCGGUUGUGAAAGCCCCGGGCUCAACCUGGGAACGGCAUCCGGAACUGUCAAGCUAGAGUGCAGGAGAGGAAGGUAGAAUUCCCGGUGUAGCGGUGAAAUGCGUAGAGAUCAGGAGGAAUACCAGUGGCGAAGGCGGCCUUCUGGACUGACACUGACACUGAGGUGCGAAAGCGUGGGUAGCAAACAGGAUUAGAUACCCGUGUAGUC